RNAcentral lists this ribosomal RNA (389 nucleotides) under uncultured bacterium. Its description in RNAcentral is "bacterial SSU rRNA". It matches the Rfam family "Bacterial small subunit ribosomal RNA", at positions 28 to 416 of the family's 1533-position model. The record is from RNAcentral.
GACGAACGCUGGCGGCGUGCUUAACACAUGCAAGUCGAGCGGUAGGCCCUUUUGGGGGUACACGAGCGGCGAACGGGUGAGUAACACGUGGGUGACCUGCCCUCAGCUCUGGGAUAAGCCUGGGAAACUGGGUCUAAUACUGGAUAUGACCUUUCCUCGCAUGGGGGUUGGGGUGGAAAGUUUUUCGGCUGGGGAUGGGCCCGGCGGCCUAUCAGCUUGUUGGUGGGGUGAUGGCCUACCAAGGCGACGACGGGUAGCCGGCCUGAGAGGGCGACCGGCCACACUGGGACUGAGACACGGCCCACGACUCCUACGGGAGGGCAGCGGUGGGGAAUAUUGCGCAAUGGGCGGAAGCCUGACGCAGCGACGCCGCGUGGGGGAUGACGGCC